RNAcentral lists this ribosomal RNA (301 nucleotides) under uncultured bacterium. Its description in RNAcentral is "partial 16S ribosomal RNA". It matches the Rfam family "Bacterial small subunit ribosomal RNA", at positions 509 to 807 of the family's 1533-position model. The record is from RNAcentral.
CAGUCGCCGCGGUAAUACGAAGGGGGCUAGCGUUGCUCGGAAUCACUGGGCGUAAAGGGUGCGUAGGCGGGUUUUUAAGUCAGAGGUGAAAUCCUGGAGCUCAACUCCAGAACUGCCUUUGAUACUGAAAGUCUUGAGUAUGGGAGAGGUGAGUGGAACUGCGAGUGUAGAGGUGAAAUUCGUAGAUAUUCGCAAGAACACCAGUGGCGAAGGCGGCUCACUGGCCCAUUACUGACGCUGAGGCACGAAAGCGUGGGGAGCAAACAGGAUUAGAUACCCGAGUAGUCCCUGUCUCUUAUAC